RNAcentral lists this ribosomal RNA (256 nucleotides) under uncultured bacterium. RNAcentral describes it as "partial 16S ribosomal RNA". It matches the Rfam family "Bacterial small subunit ribosomal RNA", at positions 524 to 776 of the family's 1533-position model. The record is from RNAcentral.
UACGUAGGGCGCAAGCGUUAUCCGGAAUUAUUGGGCGUAAAGAGCUCGUAGGCGGUUUGUCGCGUCUGCUGUGAAAACCUCAGGCUCAACCUGGGGCUUGCAGUGGGUACGGGCAGACUAGAGUGCGGUAGGGGUGACUGGAAUUCCUGGUGUAGCGGUGGAAUGCGCAGAUAUCAGGAGGAACACCGAUGGCGAAGGCAGGUCACUGGGCCGCAACUGACGCUGGAGGAGCGGAAAGCAUCGGGGAGCGAACAGG